This is a long non-coding RNA of Trichosurus vulpecula (common brushtail), 273 nucleotides long. RefSeq lists it as uncharacterized. The record is from RefSeq and is a predicted model, not a curated record. Lineage: Eukaryota; Metazoa; Chordata; Mammalia; Diprotodontia; Phalangeridae. The transcript has 3 exons.
GGAUGGAGGGUAGGGAGAGGAGGAAGCUAUAUCAAAGAGGAUCGAACACUAAAAGCCAGGAGGAGUGGACCUUAAGGCCUACUCAGUCAACCUAAAAGAGAAGGUUGGAGCCCUGGGACAACUACUCCGGUGCUCCUUUGUAGAAGAUGAUCAAUGGCAGAGCACAAGCCCUGGCCUGGAUUACCAGAAGACAUGGAGGGAAUUGUUUGGACAGUUCAAAGCCGAAGGGAAGGACUCAUGACGGAAAAUGCUAUCCACAUCCAGAGAAAGAAC